This is a long non-coding RNA of Adelges cooleyi (spruce gall adelgid), 652 nucleotides long. RefSeq lists it as uncharacterized. The record is from RefSeq and is a predicted model, not a curated record. Lineage: Eukaryota; Metazoa; Arthropoda; Insecta; Hemiptera; Adelgidae. The transcript has 4 exons.
AAAGUGGACGCCUUGCUAAGAGCUAGUGGCCGUCUUUGUUAAAUCAACCGAUUUAUGGAGCGCUUUUCAUGCAGCUUAUAACAAUUAAAAAACUGGGAAAGCUACCUAUCCCUAAGAAAAGAUGCUUGGAAUUGGGAAUACCACUCAAAAAAUUCUUCGAUGCGAAUUUUAGAUGAUCUAUGAACUUGUCAACAUUUAUUGUGUUUUAAAUAAUAACAUUGAUAUUAAAUAUCCAUAAUCAAUGUGAAUACCAAGAUGGAGUUUUGCUCAAGUGACAAGUCUAUAAAACCUAUAACCUUACUUAUAAAAUGUAUGCACAUCAAAUAUCAAAAUUAAAGUAUUAUGUCUUUGUUCUGAGAAACUUAUAAAUGUGUAGUUUUGUGUUUUAAUAUAUUGGUAUCUGAAUUCAAAGAAAAAAUAUAAAAUUUUUUAUGAAAAAAUUGAAUCUUCAAUCAUCAUUUACUGAAUCAACAAUAGUAUGUUCAAUAUUAAUAUGGACUAUCUCAACUUAAAUUGAUAUUUGUUAUUGUCUACAACUACACUACUACCAACGUCAAAUUUGGUGUAUUAUAUUAUUGUAGUCAAUCAGUCUAAUCUUAUUCCAUCAAUACAUUGUCAAAUGUUGUGGUAUUCAAUUUUCAGUAAAUUUAUA